UAGAGUUUGAUCAUGGCUCAGGACGAACGCUGGCGGCGUGCCUAAUGCAUGCAAGUCGAGCGGGCUACGAUCUUCGGAUUGUAGCUUAGCGGCGAACGGGUGAGUAACACGUAGGUAAUCUACCCUUCAGAGGAGGACAACCUCAGGAAACUGAGGCUAAACCUCCAUACGUUCACUGGUAGGGAUACUGGUGAAGAAAGAGUUACCCUAGUGGUAGCUGCUGAAGGAUGAGCCUGCGGCCCAUCAGGUAGUUGGUGAGGUAACGGCUCACCAAGCCGAAGACGGGUAACCGGUCUGAGAGGAUGUCCGGUCACACUGGGACUGAGACACGGCCCAGACUCCUACGGGAGGCAGCAGCAGGGAAUCUUGGGCAAUGGGCGAAAGCCUGACCCAGCGACGCCGCGUGGAGGAAGAAGUCCUUCGGGGCGUAAACUCCUGGACUGGGGGACGAGGAAGGACGGUACCCCAGUAGAAAGGGACGGCUAACUACGUGCCAGCCGCCGCGGUAAUACA
RNAcentral lists this ribosomal RNA (513 nucleotides) under Thermoanaerobacteraceae bacterium 68bM. RNAcentral describes it as "bacterial SSU rRNA". It matches the Rfam family "Bacterial small subunit ribosomal RNA", at positions 1 to 527 of the family's 1533-position model. Lineage: Bacteria; Bacillati; Bacillota; Clostridia; Thermoanaerobacterales; Thermoanaerobacteraceae. The record is from RNAcentral.